This is a long non-coding RNA of Mangifera indica (mango), 1585 nucleotides long. RefSeq lists it as uncharacterized. The transcript is spliced from 3 exons. The record is from RefSeq and is a predicted model, not a curated record. Lineage: Eukaryota; Viridiplantae; Streptophyta; Magnoliopsida; Sapindales; Anacardiaceae.
UGGCCAUUGGACUUUCUGGGGAAGUGGUUUUUGUGUUGAUAAUAGCUGUAAUUACAAUGGUGGCUUUUCACACCCAUGAAAGCAGGUCAUUUUUUGUGGGAAUUAUCUGCGAUGUCUUCAACAUUAUCAUGUAUGCUUCACCACUCACCAUUGUGAAAAAAGUUAUAAGAACAAAGAGCGUAGAGUACAUGCCAUUCUAUCUCUCACUUGCCGGUUUCACUAAUGGCUGUAUCUGGGCUGCUUAUGCUCUCAUCAAGCUGGAUUAUUUUAUUCUGGUAAACCAAAUAUUUCUCUAUAAUAAUUUUGCACUGGUGCAAAAAACAUACAGAUGAUUUUGGAUUUGCUCUUGCAGAUAAGCAAUGGCCUUGGAGCACUGUUCAGUCUUCUGCAACUUAUUAUAUAUGGCGUGUACUAUAGAUCAACGCCUAGAAAGGGCCAAGAUAUCGAAAAGCGGCCGGAGGUUCAGCUCUCUACAGCUCCCACGGGUUAAAUUAAUCUAUCAUGCUGAUUUUUUUAGCACGAAAAACUAUAAAGACGAAGAGUUUGGAGUACACGUCAGUCUAUCUCUCAAUGGCCGGCUUUGUUAAUGGGUGCAUCUGGUCGGCUUGUGCUUUUCAUCAACUUGGACAAUUUUCAUUCCGAAAAUCCCCAGUGGCAAAUUUAAUCAUAGUAAAAGUGGUUUGACACAGGGCAAUAGCGAUGUUGAUGGUGAUGACGAGAGUGAUGAACAAAUGGAAGACCUUAAAACAUCCAAAACAUGCAAUUCAUACAUGUUGCAAUAUAUGCAUAGGGCUGAAACUCCUCCACUGAUUUCCUCUUAAUUAUUCGCCAAAAAGUUGGACUGUCAAAACAAUGUAAUUUUAAAAUCAGGCUAAUUAUCCAUUAACAAGAUUAACAGUUUUGAUAAGAAAACCAGGCGAGAGGAAGAGGCCGAAGGAGAUAACAUUACCUGCAUCAUAAAUAACCAAAUAUUUUCAUUAAACAAAAAGGUAACUGAAAACACACACCAAAAAAUAAAAAAAUCAUUGUUUUUUGUAGCAACAACACAAGUGAAAAACAAACCAAUGAUGCCGACGAUAUUGCGAGCAGUUUCAGCAUUAACCAUUAUGAGUGAGCUGCUUCUGUGACAGAGAUGGUGAAAUUUGUUUUGAAAAAUGAGAGGGCAUAUAUGUUGAUAAUGUGGAGUUGUUAAAAUAAAGCAAUAAUCUAUCACUUAUGCUCUCAUCAAGCUGGAUUAUUUUAUUCUGGUAAACCAAAUAUUUCUCUAUAAUAAUUUUGCACUGGUGCAAAAAACAGACAGAUGAUUUUGGUUUUGCUCUUGCAGAUAAGCAAUGGCCUUGGAGCACUGUUCGGUCUUCUGCAACUUAUUAUAUAUGGCGUGUACUAUAGAUCAACGCCUAGAACGGGCCAAGAUAUCGAAAAGCCGCCGGAGGUUCAGCUCUCUACAGCUCCCAGGGCUUAAAUUAAUCUAUCAUGCUGAUUUUUUUAGCAGUGAGUUCAAAAAAAUUUUAUGUGGUCCAUUAUUUCCAUUGAAAUCCAAAUUGGCAUAAAAUUUCAAUAAUAACACUUUGAAUAUUGGAUGUUA